This 213-nucleotide long non-coding RNA is filed under the name Elaeis guineensis (African oil palm). RNAcentral describes it as "long non-coding RNA (EGUI_LNC025913)". The record is from RNAcentral. Lineage: Eukaryota; Viridiplantae; Streptophyta; Magnoliopsida; Arecales; Arecaceae.
GCCCAUCUUUUACGAAAAGCUUUUUUUCAUAUUUUUACAAUUCUAAUUAUAUACUUUUGUUAGAUUAAAUACAAAAUGAAAAAUAUUUUAGAAUAAUCUACCAAAUGAGUCUAAUUAUUCACUAGGAUAAGAUAUUACAAAGUAAUUAAAUAAAUGAUAUUUCCAAGUGUGGUGCUCCAGCUGCGGAUACAAAACAAAAUAAUUUGAAGGGCU